ACCAGGGCUGUUGCAAAUAACCCCUACCUCAACUUUCUGAGGUAAGUGACUCCGACCUUUGCUCUGAGUGAGAAAAAGAAUCUUAGGUAAGACAAGAGCUGGGUUGGGUGAAGGCUACAGAACCUAGGACACUCCAAGUUCCUCAUCCCAUUACUUUCUUAAAGCAGCUACAGUAGACAGAGCCCAGCAGCUGGAACAUUGACCACUCUCAAGGUUAUGCUUGGACGCACUGUCGGUUGCUAUGGGGACCUUCUUUCCCAAGCCUGAACCAAUGCACAUUGCCACUGAUGACCUCAUGCCCUGGGUUCCAGGAUUCUAUUGGCUUUUCAGAAACCAGAGUCCAGAGUUUUCAACUGCGUCACUGUUUGUUGGGGAUCCCCCGACAACCCCAGCUAGUGUGGCUAAAAGAAUGGCAGCUGAACUCACAGAGCAUUGGAUGAAUGACUGGAGGAAGAGAAUAUGAAAAAGCAAGAAGAAAAGGAGGGGGGUCACAGAGAAAAACAACUUCGGAAUGUGUACGGCAGUUUGCAACGUGGUUAAGUCUGAAGCGGAAUCUAGGCAAGAGACUCUCAAAUCAGGGAGGCAGGGAGAGGUUAAGUUUUCGCAUCUGUACCGCUGAGACUAGGGUUGGCUUAGUAAAUUGAGGGCCCCACCCUCAGCCGGCUAGCGUUGCUGAAUUUAGGGGAGACUGGCGACGCCCCAAAACUUGCAGGCCUGCCUAACCUCUUGGAACUGUGCCUCUGAACACGCUGCCUGCGAAGACUUCUCAUGAGUAGCAGACUCUAUCAGAGCUUUCUACCAAGAAGUAUCUGGGCCUGCAACUGCCAUAGGUCCAUACCGAGAGAAAGGGUACAGAAAAAGAGGGGGACGGCUUGGCCUGAAGGUCUACAGUCUGAGGCCUAAGUAUCUGUGCCUUCUCCAGUAUCAGCUCUUGCACCUGCCGAGGCCUGGGCUGUCUGUCUGCAAAUGUGCGAAUCUGUGUCAAGCGCAGACUGAAACUGAAGCCCCGUGUCUGAACUCAAGAAAAGCCAACUAGGUUCCCCGUCCCUGUCCCUGUUGCUCAUGGGAUUGAUGCUGCCUGCCAGCGCUCCUGCUGGGUCCACGAAGAGGUGUGUCAGGCCACGGGAAGAGACGCCCUCCAGGAAGAUGGCAGCGACGGAACUCCAACGCUGGACCAAAAGACUCAGCCCACAGCUCCUCCCACAGUUCUUAGUCCGCCUUCUCUUCUCACACAAGCAUCUUUUAAUUGCUAAAGAUCAAAGUUUAGGGUCAGGACCCUAACACAUACACUUGUUAACGCGGCACUUUCUGAAAGUGGCCUCGAAUAAAGGGUUUAUUAACUCAAAAUCUA
Molecule: long non-coding RNA, 1351 nt
Organism: Mastomys coucha (southern multimammate mouse)
Lineage: Eukaryota; Metazoa; Chordata; Mammalia; Rodentia; Muridae
Exons: 2
Source: RefSeq, a predicted model, not a curated record